Molecule: transfer RNA, 71 nt
Filed under: Cavia porcellus (domestic guinea pig)
Lineage: Eukaryota; Metazoa; Chordata; Mammalia; Rodentia; Caviidae
Rfam family: tRNA
About the family: Transfer RNA (tRNA) molecules are approximately 80 nucleotides in length.
Source: Rfam by way of RNAcentral
GGGUAUUUAGCUCAGCGGCAUAAGCACCUGCCUUGCAAGCAGGCAGUUGUGAGUUCAAUCCCCAGUACCGA